GACUUGAUCAAAGACCUACGUCCUCGC
This 27-nucleotide non-coding RNA is filed under the name Bombyx mori (domestic silkworm). The record is from RNAcentral. Lineage: Eukaryota; Metazoa; Arthropoda; Insecta; Lepidoptera; Bombycidae.